This 487-nucleotide ribosomal RNA is filed under the name uncultured bacterium. RNAcentral's name for it is "bacterial SSU rRNA". It matches the Rfam family "Bacterial small subunit ribosomal RNA", at positions 10 to 507 of the family's 1533-position model. The record is from RNAcentral.
AGUUUGAUCCUGGCUCAGGGAUGAACGCUGGCGGCGCGCCUAAUACAUGCAAGUCGAACGAGGUGCUUUGUAGCAAUACGAGAGUAUCCUAGUGGCGAACGGGUGAGUAACGCGUUGGUGACCUACCCCAAAGUGUGGGAUAACAGUCCGAAAGGAUUGCUAAUACCGCAUGUGGUCUUCGGGUUUAGAAACUGAUGACUAAAGGAGCAAUUCGCUUUGGGAGGGACCUGCGUCCCAUCAGCUAGUUGGUGAGGUAAUGGCUCACCAAGGCUACGACGGGUAGGGGACCUGAGAGGGUGACCCCCCACAAUGGAACUGAAACACGGUCCAUACACCUACGGGUGGCAGCAGUAGGGAAUAUUGCACAAUGGGCGAAAGCCUGAUGCAGCAACGCCGCGUGUGCGAUGAAGGCCUUCGGGUCGUAAAGCACUUUUCUGGGAGAUGAGCAAGGACAGUAUCUCAGGAAUAAGUCUCGGCUAACUACGUG